GACUGAGUUUUCCCCUGACGGGAGCGAGCAGGGCUGGAGCACCGGACGCGCACAGCAGGUUGCAACUGGAUCAGCUCAAAGAGGUGAGAUGGCUGACAAUUAAGAAAACAGAGUUCAGUGAGGAAGAGACGGCUUGGUCUUCAACAGGAUGCCAGGAUCACAUUUUUAACACACCGUUUAAAGGGCUUUCUUGUCCGCAGCUGAACAUCCAGCAUACCACACAGAGAUGGAGAAUGACAGCACGCUCUCGAUGGUCGCCCGGUAGAAGGACACCAGCAGCUUCUUGUUCAGUCUGUUCCUCCGAAGCACCCUCAUGAAGUGCAGUCGCUGCUGGGCCUUUUUAACUGCUGCAGUGGUGUGUGCAGCUGAGGCUCUCUGAAAUUUGAACCCCGAGGAACUUAAAGGUGGGGACCCUCUCCACUCUCUCUCCAUUGAGUCUUGACCCCUUGAUGCAUCUCUUCAAGACAAGUUACUGGGCAAACACCAAACUGCAAGAUGAAAACUAUUGUCAUUGAUUGGAUGCCACAUCUCUGCCUAUUUGCAGAGACAACUCCCCAGAAGAAGAAAUAACCUGCAGUUACGGGGAUGCUGACUGGCCUUUGCACAAACAGUUCCAGGUGACAAACGGGCAUACUAAUCCAGAGGGAGUUGAGGAGGAGAGGCUCCCCUUAGACUUGACUUUCCCCGAAACAUCAACAAGUGACUGUGCUACGACCGAGUUCCAGGUGACAAACGGGCAGACUAAUCCAGAGGGAGUUGAGGAGGAGAGGCUCCCCUUAGACUUGACUUUCCCCGAAACAUCAACAAGUGACUGUGCUACUACCGAGUUCCAGGUGACAAACGGGCAGACUAAUCCAGGGAGGGAGUUGAGGACGAGACGCUCUCCUUGGAACUUUAUGUCUACAUAAGCAUCAAACAGUGACUGUGCUACUACCGAGGGAAACAAACGUUUGUGAAACGCAGCUGGACGUCAGCAGAAAGUGCUGCUGUGGAACAACACUUGGGUUAUGAAAUGGACAAUCAAGAACCAGGUUCCAGGGAAAGAUGCAUGUGAGGAUUGUAUCCCUGCCGAACCUCAAGCCCUAACAAAUAGGGACUGGGGAGCCGUUAAGUAUUACAUGAACAUUUCAAUUUCUUCUCUCCGAAUGUAAAUGAAAUAAAAUUGAACCAAGGAAAAAUACGUUCAAUGUUGAAAGAAGGAUUUCAAGUACCACUACCAAAACUAGGGGCUUUACCUAAACCAAACCAAAUUUUCAUUUUUGAAUCGUCAACUAAUAUAAAUUAAAGGGAAAUCCAUUGCAUUCCGAUUAUGCUGCUAGAAAGAAUCAUCCAUGUUUUCAAAGAUUUCCUUUUUUGCUUUUAGGGUUUUCUCUCUCCUGUAGUGUAGAAAAUAUCUUUUUGUGCAUGUAAAUGUUUUUCAAAGUCUAAAAUCCCUCAUUGAAGCAUGGAAACAUUUCACAGGAGAGAAACUUUAUACAAAUUUGAACCUCAAAAUGACCAGAAUAUGUCAUUGUUAAAUGUAACUCAAAAGGAGGUCAAAGUCUACUGAUUUGUUAGGCCUGUUUGUUUUGUUUUUUGGGUCAUGGGAUUGGUCAAGUUGUACAUUUUGUUUUAACGAUAUAGAAACACCCCAAUAAUAUACAAAUAAAUAUUUAUAGCAUUAAAAUAAUGUUGUAGAGAGUUUAUAUGAAUUAUACUUUUUUCUCAAGAAUUACUAAUUGUUGCCUCUAAGAAAAAACAAUGUUGAACGAAAAGGAUCUUUAGGGGAUUAUUGAUUUGGUCUCCAUGGUGUUUCAAUGUUACUGCCAUGUCUACUGUCUAGUUAUAUUCUAUGUUAAGAUGAGGCUAAUCACCUAAGUAAUGACUUAUUUUACCAGCAAUGUGAAUUUGUUGGUGUAAAAAAUAUCAGAGUAGAAUGUAAAUGUUCAUGAUGCUGUUCUGCAGUUUCUUUGGUAACAAGGAAAGUCCAUUCAACUCAAUAAUGUCUCUAGUAACUCUGAUCCCUUCCAAGAUAUGAAAACUAGAAAUAUGUGUGUGUCUGAUCCCUUCCAAGAUAUGAAAACUAGAAAUAUGUGUGUGUGUGUGUAUAAUGGACCUCAUAAGUGCUGACUGCUAGAAACUGGGCCCCACUAAGUGGGUAAAAAACUAGCAUAAUGACAAAAGCUUGGAAUUAUGUUUA
Molecule: long non-coding RNA, 2179 nt
Organism: Gymnodraco acuticeps
Lineage: Eukaryota; Metazoa; Chordata; Actinopteri; Perciformes; Bathydraconidae
Exons: 8
Source: RefSeq, a predicted model, not a curated record